CCUACGGGUGGCUGCAGUCGAGGAUCUUCGGCAAUGGGCGCAAGCCUGACCGAGCGACGCCGCGUGCGGGAUGAAGGCCUUCGGGUUGUAAACCGCUGUCAGGGGGGAUGAAAUCAUGGUGGGUACUCCCAUCAUGUUGACAGAGCCCCAGAGGAAGCGCGGGCUAAGUUCGUGCCAGCAGCCGCGGUAAUACGAACUGCGCGAACGUUAUUCGGAAUCACUGGGCUUACAGGGUGCGUAGGUGGCAUCGAAAGUAGGGUGUGAAAUGCCUUGGC
This 275-nucleotide ribosomal RNA is filed under the name uncultured Planctomyces sp. RNAcentral's name for it is "partial 16S ribosomal RNA". It matches the Rfam family "Bacterial small subunit ribosomal RNA", at positions 338 to 608 of the family's 1533-position model. Lineage: Bacteria; Pseudomonadati; Planctomycetota; Planctomycetia; Planctomycetales; Planctomycetaceae. The record is from RNAcentral.